AGAGAAUAGAUACCCCGGUAGUCCUGGCCGUAAACGAUGUCCACUAGAUCCUGGUUCCUUUGACGGUAUCGGGGUCGAAAGUAAAAAAAAAUGGUAAAGUGGACCGCCUGGGAAGUACGGUCGCAAGGCUAAAACUCAAAGAAAUUGACGGGGCUCACACAAGCGGUGGAGCAUGUGGUUCAAUUCGAAAGCAACGCGCAGAACCUUACCUGGGCUUGACAUGCUAGGAUUAUCCUUAUGAAAGUAAGGUAGGCCCCGCAAGGGGUACAACUAGUACAGGUGCUGCAUGGCUGUCGUCAGCUCGUGUCGUGAGAUGUCGGGUUAAGUCCCUUAACGAGCGAAACCCUUUGCCCCUAGUUACCAUCGGGUUAUGCCGGGGUACUCUAAGGGGACUGCCGGUGUCAAACCGGAGGAAGGUGGAGAUGACGUCAAGUCCUCAUGGCCUUUAUGCCCAGGGCCACACACGUGCUACAAUGGCGUGGACAAAGCGAACCUAAAACGCGAGUUCGAGGAAAUCGCAGAAGUCACGCCCCGAGUUCAGAUAGGAGGCUGCAACUCGCCUCCUUGAA
This 569-nucleotide ribosomal RNA is filed under the name uncultured bacterium. RNAcentral's name for it is "bacterial SSU rRNA". It matches the Rfam family "Bacterial small subunit ribosomal RNA", at positions 773 to 1324 of the family's 1533-position model. The record is from RNAcentral.